Long non-coding RNA from Prionailurus viverrinus (fishing cat), 3313 nucleotides. RefSeq lists it as uncharacterized. The transcript is spliced from 2 exons. Lineage: Eukaryota; Metazoa; Chordata; Mammalia; Carnivora; Felidae. The record is from RefSeq and is a predicted model, not a curated record.
GUGAGACCACAGACACCAGGCCCUCACAGCCCUUCCUGCUCGCGUCCUGACCCGCAGGCCCCUGUCCAGCCGCCCCAGGACUAGGACAGCGCACAGAUGUCCCACAGCCCCAUCCACUUCCCUGGAUGCGGUAAACGCUCCGCCUCGCCAGGCGAUCCACGCGCAGGAGGGCGAGUCCCGUCCACACGCUCUCUGGGGCAGCCCUGGACAGGAGUCCUGCUCCUUCCGGGAGGGACCCAGGCCCCGAGGUGCAGAGACCACAGCUGUCCUCAGCUGCAUGAGGACAGCCCCUGGCUGCAGAUCCCCGAGGACGCCUCAGGUCCAGCCCAGCCCGCCAGGCUGAGAUUCUCGCCCACAACAACUGUCGCCAGCUCCCUCUUCCCCUUUCUCUGAGGGCCAUCAGCCCCGGGUGAGAGAACACAUGGGGUCCUUGAGUCCCCCUGAGCCCGCCCCACGUCCAUCCCUCAGAGUCCUGUGGGUCCCACCAGCACCUCCCGCUGGGCUCCACCCCCGCCAGGAUCUGCUAUCCUCAUAGCCCUCCAUCCCCACUGUCCCCACUGUCCCCGCCUCUCCCAAGUCAGCCAGGCUCUGUCCCAGCUUUGCCUCCGGGGCUGAUGCACAUAACGGGUGCCUCUCCUCCUGCCCCACUGCUUCCUCAGUCCCCCGCGGUUCUCAGACAGGGUCCCGUGUCACCCCACACCUGCCCCCCCUUUUUCUAUUCCUCCCCCUCACCCCCAGUUCAGCGGCUCCAAGCGCUCCGCUCAGGCCGUUAAGCGAUACUCGCGCUUCUCCCUUUGGUGAUCUCAGCAUCUGGGGGCUUCGAUUUGACAUUUCAGUGGAGGGCUCCAGGGUGUAACUUCCCGCCUCCCCCAUCCUGCGGCCCCGCAUUCCCAGCUGCCCUCUGGGAACGGACCCCCCGGCUCUCGCUGACACCUGUCACCCGCCGGGAACGGGCCCCCCGGCUCUCGCUGACACCUGUCACCCGCCGGGAACGGGCCCCCCGGCUCUCACUGACACCUGUCACCCGCCGGGAACGGGCCCCCCGGCUCUCGCUGACACCUGUCACCCGCCGGGAACGGGCCCCCCGGCUCUCGCUGACACCUGUCACCCGCCGGGAACGGGCCCCCCGGCUCUCACUGACACCUGUCACCCGCCUUACUCAGGGAGGCCCCCAACUGCACCCGCCAUGGGUCUCCACACGUCCCUGUUCUUCUCUUCCCCGGGCGCUCUGUGCCUUUCUCCGCAAGCUCACUGGGAUGGCUUGUAUAUAUCUAGAACAUUGUUUAGGGAAAGUAACAGGUGCCGGGCGGAGGUGGAGAAACCGGAACCCUAAUUAAUGCAGGGGCGCGGCGAGCGUAAAUCGGGUGGCAGUUCCCCGGAAAGUGAGCCCAGAAUCGCUCACUGAGCCGGCGGUCCCAGCGCCCCGCGCGCGGGAAGAAGGACCCGGCGACGCCAGCGCGGUGUGCGCAGGCCGAAGCAACGGAAGCUGGGCCUUGGAGGGUGUGCGCCCUGGCGUCCACGCCGGCGCUAUCCACACUCGCCAGUACAGCCGCAGGCUCCUGAGGUGUGGACGAGGGAAGCCAAUAAUUAGCAUCAGCUCUGGCGCUGAGUGAGGACCCUAGUGGCAGGUGUGGGCUGCACAGACGGAGGAAGGAGCCACGUGCCCAGGAGGGUGGGCGCCUCCAGCAGCUGGAAAAGGCAGCGAAACGGGUUGAGUCUCCAGGAAGGAGGGGGCGGGGGGGGGGGCUCAGAUCCACGUCAGAGUUCUGACCCCCCAGGAUUUAACGAUCCCAAUGAACCUGCUGCCGGAAGUGUCCCCCUCUGCGCUCCUGUGUUCCGGCAGAGGAGGAGUCUCAGACGCCUGGUCUCCCAAGCUUCUGGAAACGGAUUCCGGUGCCAACCUCUCCUGACCAGCGUUCCGACCUCAGUCCCUGACUCUCAUACCACACUCUGACCACCAGUGCCCGGAGCCCAGCCUGGCCGCCUUCUGGAGGCCUGGGCCCCAUCUCUGCGGCUCUGCAGGGGCCGGGGGCUUGUGCGCAGCGCUGGUCCCAGUGUGGCCGGGAUACAGGAUGAAGGACGACCUUCCCAGGCGUCACUGCAUCUCUGCAGGAGGCAGGGCUCGGCGCGGUGGUUCUCCGGUGUCCUUUCUCUCAGCACAGAGGGAUGGAGGGGCCACGCUCAGACUUCUCUUCAGCAGUUGUGCGCCCCCCCCCCCCCCACUGUGUCCGUCUCCCCCGGAGCACUGUCCUCAGCACGAAGGACAGGAAGGCUGCCUGCCAGGGCCCCCGCCUCCUGCCCGGAGUACGGAGCGUCCUCGUUGCACUUUUUGGCACUCGGCUUGCCAGACUCGGCCGUGGAAGGCGCUUCUGAGCCCGGCGCUGUGCUUCCCGAGGGGACCCGGCGCAUCAUCAGCUCUGUCUUGCUCUCCGGAUUCAGUGGAGUCCCAGACUCAUCUCGUGUCCCUCCUGCCCUGGACCAGGAACCCACCUUUUCUGCAAGAGUUCUUUUACCGGGGAACCGUAUUUACAGAACAAGAUGUGCAGGUUAUGUGAACUCAGGAUACUGGGCUUUUUUGUUCCUUAGGGAGCCAGUUAACACUCAGGGAGGAUGGGUAGUGUGCUUUCACGGGGGUAUUCCCAGCCUCGAUGUGAUGUCCUGUCCUGUCCUCUCCUCUCUCCUCCCCUCCCAUCCCCUCCCAUCCUUCUUCUAGGAAGCCUCAUGUCUAGCAUGGAGCCCAGUGCAGGGCUUGAACUCACAACCUUGAGAUCAAGACCUGAGCGGAGAUCAAGAGUCGGAUGCUUAACCGACGGAGCCAUUCAGGGGCCUCAAUGGACUUUUUAGGUUACACUUGUAUUUCUCCUACUUCAAAUCCCUGCUCCUGAUAAAUUAACGUAAUUACAUUUUCGCUUCGCCCUGUGGCUUUGUUGUUAAUCGGGUGUAAGCGUAUCUUUACCUUGACGUGUUCAUAUUCGUGUCAGAGUGUGCUCUCCCCGUCUUGUAUGAUUUAACUGUGUUUUGGAACGUGCAGGACGUUCGUAGGUUUCAAAAGCGAAAACUCCCCGAAUUGGGACAUUCGAGAUGACCCUCCUCACCCCCUCCCCUUUGCCCCACGCCCCCACAUAGUGCAGGUGGCUAUUUUUGUUACUUCCGGGUUCUCAGAUGGAACGCAUGAUCCGUGGAAAGGGAAGUCCGCAGACACAUCCUGCUACUUACCUCCUUUCUUGGAUGGAAGUCAGCCCGUUCCAGCUAUAGCUUUGUACCCCACUUUCCACUCUUCCAGCUUCCUGUGAAAUAAACCGCCACGAACUCA